UAGGGAAUCUUCCACAAUGGGCGAAAGCCUGAUGGAGCAACGCCGCGUGUGUGAUGAAGGGUUUCGGCUCGUAAAACACUGCUGUAAGAGAAGAAUGACAUUGAGAGUAACUGUUCAAUGUGUGACGGUAUCUUACCAGAAAGGAACGGCUAAAUACGUGCCGG
RNAcentral lists this ribosomal RNA (164 nucleotides) under uncultured bacterium. Its description in RNAcentral is "partial 16S rRNA". It matches the Rfam family "Bacterial small subunit ribosomal RNA", at positions 355 to 511 of the family's 1533-position model. The record is from RNAcentral.